GACGAACGCUGGCGGCGUGCUUAACACAUGCAAGUCGAACGGAAAGGCCCUGCUUAUGUGGGGUGCUCGAGUGGCGAGCGGGUGAGUAACACGUGAGUAACCUGCCCUUGACUUUGGGAUAACUUCAGGAAACUGGGGCUAAUACCGGAUAGGAGCUCCUGCUGCAUGGUGGGGGUUGGAAAGUUUCGGCGGUUGGGGAUGGACUCGCGGCUUAUCAGCUUGUUGGUGGGGUAGUGGCUUACCAAGGCUUUGACGGGUAGCCGGCCUGAGAGGGUGACCGGCCACAUUCGGACGGAGAUACGGACCAGACUCCUACGGGAGGCAGCAGUGGGGAGUAUUGCACAAUGGGCGGAAGCCUGAUGCAGCAACGCAGCGUGCGGGAUGACGGCCUUCGGGUUGUAUACCGCUUUCGCCUGUGACGAAGCGUGAGUGACGGUAAUGGGUAAAGAAGCACCGGCUAACUACGUG
Molecule: ribosomal RNA, 468 nt
Filed under: uncultured bacterium
Lineage: Bacteria
Description: partial 16S ribosomal RNA
Rfam family: Bacterial small subunit ribosomal RNA
Source: RNAcentral